GAUGAAGAACGUAGCGAAAUGCGAUAAGUAAUGCGAAUUGCAGAAUUCCAGUGAGUCAUCGAAUCUUUGAACGCACAUUGCCCCCUUUGGUAUUCCGAAGGGCAUGCCUGUUCGAGCGUCAUUAUCACCCCUCAAGCCCUCGGCUUGGUGUUGGACGGUUUGGUGGAGGCCCCCUCGGGGGCUCCUGCCCCUCCCAAAGACAAUGACGGCGGCCUCGUUGGACCCCCGGUACACUGAGUUCUUCACGGGACACGUAUCGGACACAUGAGUUUACGGGACACGGUCUGCCUCCCCUCAGGGAGAAUCUUUCUAAGGUUGACCUCGGAUCAGGUAGGGAUACCCGCUGAACUUAAGCAUAUCAAUAAGCGGAGGA
RNAcentral lists this unclassified non-coding RNA (373 nucleotides) under soil metagenome. Its description in RNAcentral is "partial contains 5.8S ribosomal RNA, internal transcribed spacer 2, and large subunit ribosomal RNA". The stretch from base 1 to 121 matches the Rfam family "5.8S ribosomal RNA", at positions 35 to 154 of the family's 154-position model. The record is from RNAcentral.